Molecule: ribosomal RNA, 579 nt
Filed under: uncultured bacterium
Lineage: Bacteria
Description: bacterial SSU rRNA
Rfam family: Bacterial small subunit ribosomal RNA
Source: RNAcentral
AUGCAUGCAGUCGUACGCACGCGCUUCGGCGCGUGAGUGGCGCACGGCUGAGUAACACGUGGGAACCCGCCCUCCGGUGGGGGAUAACGCGACGAAAGUCGCGCUAAUCCCGCAUACGUCCGCAAGGGGAAAGCGCUUCGGCGCGCCGGAGGAGGGGCCUGCGGCCCAUCAGGUGGUUGGUGGGGUAACGGCCUACCAAGCCGAUGACGGGUAGCUGGUCUGGGAGGAUGACCAGCCAGACUGGGACUGAGACACGGCCCAGACUCCUACGGGAGGCAGCAGCAAGGAAUUUUCGGCAAUGGGCGCAAGCCUGACCGAGCAACGCCGCGUGCGGGAUGACGGCCUUCGGGUUGUAAACCGCUUUUCGGGGGGACGACUACGACGGUACCCCCGGAAGAAGCCCCGGCUAACUCUGUGCCAGCAGCCGCGGUAAGACAGAGGGGGCGAGCGUUGUCCGGAGUUACUGGGCGUAAAGCGCGCGCAGGCGGUGGUCUCAGUGUCGUGUGAAAGCCCCCGGCUCAACCGGGGGAGGUCAUGGCAAACUAGACGACUGGAGCGGCGGAGAGGCCCCUCGAAUUG